GUUCUCGUAGCUCAGAUGGAUAGAGCACAGGAUUCCUAAUCCUGGGGCCGUGGGUUCGACUCCCGCCGAGAACGCCA
Molecule: transfer RNA, 77 nt
Filed under: Alphaproteobacteria bacterium
Lineage: Bacteria; Pseudomonadati; Pseudomonadota; Alphaproteobacteria
Description: tRNA-Arg
Rfam family: tRNA
About the family: Transfer RNA (tRNA) molecules are approximately 80 nucleotides in length.
Source: RNAcentral